GUGCCCCUCCCUUGCAACACCAACGAACGCAGUACACACCUCCAUCGGCAUUCCUGUAACCUGGACGACCAACAAGUAGUGGCAACCGGUUGUUGCAGCCAUGAAAGGGUGGCCAAAUUUCGUAGAUGUCACCAUUUGGUUCUUGAGCCGGCUCUUGGAAAAACCCCAAACUUCAUACUUAAGUGUCUAACAUUUCAAUGCAUUUUUAGAGAUGGAUUCACAAGAUUCCGGACAUAUGUAUUUCACCAACCUCCUAAGUGAAGAUCCUCAACUAGACCCCACAUAUGGUGGGCAAAGUGGAAACUCUCCUAUGACUGUUGAUGACUCUCCACCCCUAUCCCAUAACGAUCUUAUCGGCAUUAGGAAAUCAGUCAAGGAUGCGAACUUUACCCCCGAGGAAGACAAGUUACUUGUCUCUGCAUGGCUUAAUUGUAGCCUUGAUGCCGUUCAGGGAGCAGA
Juglans microcarpa x Juglans regia is the source of this 459-nucleotide long non-coding RNA. RefSeq lists it as uncharacterized. The transcript has 2 exons. The record is from RefSeq and is a predicted model, not a curated record. Lineage: Eukaryota; Viridiplantae; Streptophyta; Magnoliopsida; Fagales; Juglandaceae.